Molecule: long non-coding RNA, 1363 nt
Organism: Ruditapes philippinarum (Manila clam)
Lineage: Eukaryota; Metazoa; Mollusca; Bivalvia; Venerida; Veneridae
Exons: 2
Source: RefSeq, a predicted model, not a curated record
UAUUAGCUCACCUGUCACAAAGUGACAGGGUGAGCUUUUGUGAUCGCUUUUCGUCCGGCGUCCGUCCGUCCGUCGUCCGUCCGUCCGUAAACUUUUACUUGAAAUGACAUCUCCUCAUAAACCACUAAGCCAAUUUCAUCCAAACUUCACAGGAAUGUUCCUUUGGUGGUCACCUUUAAAAAUUGUUCAAAGAAUUUAAUUCCAUGCAGAACUCUGGUUGCCAUGGCAACCGAAAGAAAAAACUUUAAAUAUCUUCUUUUAAAAAACCAUAAGAGCUAGAGCUUAGAUUUUUGGCAUGAAACAUCUUCUAGUGAGUGUCUACCAAGUUUGUUCAAAUAAAAGCCCUGGGGUCAAAAUUGGCCCCGCCCCGGGGGAUCAUUGAUUUUCCCUAUAUGCAUAUAGUAAAAACUUAAAAAAUCUUCUUUUAAAGAACCCAAAGAGCUAGAGCUAAGAUAUUUAGCAUGAAACAUGUUCUAAUGGGUUUCUACCAAGUUUGUUCAGAUAAAAGCCCUGGGGUCAAAAUUGGCCCCGCCCCGGGGGGUCAUUGAUUUUCCCUAUAUGCAUAUAGUAAAAAGUUAAAAAAAUUUCUUUUAAAGAACUCAAAGAGCUAUGGCUAAGAUAUUGAGCAUCAAACAUGUUCUAAUAGGUGUCUACCAAGUUUGUUCAAAUAAAAGCCCUAGGGUCAAAAUUGGCCCCGCCCAAGGGGGGUCAUUGAUUUUCCCUAUAUGCAUAUAGUAAAAACUUAAAAAAUCUUCUUUUAAAGAACCAAAAGAGUUAGAGCUAAGAUAUUUAGCAUGAAACAUGAUCUAAUAAGUGUCUACCAAGUUUGUUCAAAUAAAAGCCCUGGGGUCAAAAUUGGCACCGCCCCAGGGGUCAUUGAUUUUCCUUAUAUGUGUAUAGCAAAAACUUAAAAAAUCUUUUUUGAAAAACCCAAAUAGCUAGAGUUAAGAUAUUAAGCAUGAAACAUCUUUUAGUGAGUGUCUACAAAGUUUGUUCAAAUAAAAGACCUGGGGUCAAAAUUGGCCCCGUCCCGGGGGUCAUUGAUUUUCUUUAUAUGUGUAUAGCAAAGACUUAAAAUCUUCUUUGGAAAAACCCGAAUAGCUAGAGUUUAGAUAUUAAGCAUGAAACAUCUUCUAGUAAGUGUCUACAAAGUUUGUUCAAAUAAAAGCCCUGGGGUCAAAACUGGCCCGGCCCCAGGGGUGUCAUUGUUUUUAACUAUAUGUGUAUAGUAAAAACUUUAAAAAAAAUCUUCUUUUAAAAAGCCCAAUUAGCUAGAGCUUAGAUGUUUAGCAUAAAACAUCUUCUUAUGGGUGUCUACCAAGUUUGUGCAAAUAAAAGCCCUUGGGUUAAAUUGGCCCUGCAA